CAGUAGCCGCGGUAACACCGAGGGUGCGAGCGUUAAUCGGAUUUACUGGGCGUAAAGCGUGCGUAGGCGGCUUUUUAAGUCGGAUGUGAAAUCCCUGAGCUUAACUUAGGAAUUGCAUUCGAUACUGGGAAGCUAGAGUAUGGGAGAGGAUGGUAGAAUUCCAGGUGUAGCGGUGAAAUGCGUAGAGAUCUGGAGGAAUACCGAUGGCGAAGGCAGCCAUCUGGCCUAAUACUGACGCUGAGGUACGAAAGCAUGGGGAGCAAACAGGAUUAGAUACCCGCGUAGUCCCUGUCUCUUAUAC
RNAcentral lists this ribosomal RNA (301 nucleotides) under uncultured bacterium. RNAcentral's name for it is "partial 16S ribosomal RNA". It matches the Rfam family "Bacterial small subunit ribosomal RNA", at positions 509 to 807 of the family's 1533-position model. The record is from RNAcentral.